GAUGAACGCUGGCGGCACGCCUAACACAUGCAAGUCGAACGAGGUUUGAGAGCGGUUAGUGGCGGACUGGUGAGUAACACGUAAGCAACCUGCCUAUUAGAGGGGAAUAACAGUGAGAAAUCAUUGCUAAUACCGCAUAUGCUAACAGUAUCGCAUGAUACAGUUAGGAAAGGAGUAAUCCGCUAAUAGAUGGGCUUGCGUCUGAUUAGAUAGUUGGUGGGGUAACGGCCUACCAAGUCGACGAUCAGUAGCCGGUCUGAGAGGAUGAACGGCCACAUUGGGACUGAGAUACGGCCCAGACUCCUACGGGAGGCAGCAGUGGGGAAUAUUGGGCAAUGGGGGAAACCCUGACCCAGCAACGCCGCGUGAAGGAAGAAGGCCUUCGGGUUGUAAACUUCUUUUAGCAGGGACGAAGGACGUGACGGUACCUGCAGAAAAAGCAACGGCUAACUACGUG
RNAcentral lists this ribosomal RNA (457 nucleotides) under uncultured bacterium. RNAcentral describes it as "bacterial SSU rRNA". It matches the Rfam family "Bacterial small subunit ribosomal RNA", at positions 28 to 507 of the family's 1533-position model. The record is from RNAcentral.